UUUGCAAUUUUUCUAAUUUUGGCGCACAAUGUGUUUGCUGGUUUUCCAGCUAUGGCGAUAAACGCGUUGCGGAAUAAGCGUUGCGGACCCGGGGGCAGUGCCCGGCGCCUCCACCAUUUAUCUUCUCUUGUACGAUUUCCUUCGGGAUCAGGGCACGAGGGGAUCUCGGGGGGCGAAACAGGAUCGACGUGCGUAGUAAAGGCAAUGGCUUUCGCUCGGUGGGGUACCGCCGAUACCGGUCCAUUUGUAAUAGUUGCCAACGACAACUAUGCUCCGGUUCGUGCCGCUGCUUAAUGCAGUCUCACAACCGACACAUUAAGUCCUAGGUGCUAGCCCAUCUAGGCGGGGUUCGGGAGGCGCCUGGCAACAGAAGCCUCCCA
Molecule: transfer-messenger RNA, 380 nt
Filed under: marine eukaryotic metagenome
Description: Alphaproteobacteria transfer-messenger RNA
Rfam family: Alphaproteobacteria transfer-messenger RNA
About the family: Bacterial tmRNA, also known as 10Sa RNA or SsrA, is named for its dual tRNA and mRNA-like properties.
Source: RNAcentral